AGCCAAAAACUAUUUUGCACUUAUUUUACAACUGUGCCUCCUCUAACAUAUUUUGGAGGGAACUGGAGAAAGCUAUUUUUAACAAAACCAGAAAACAUAUCUCAAUAUCUCCAAG
Sphaeramia orbicularis (orbiculate cardinalfish) is the source of this 115-nucleotide long non-coding RNA. RefSeq lists it as uncharacterized. The transcript has 3 exons. Lineage: Eukaryota; Metazoa; Chordata; Actinopteri; Kurtiformes; Apogonidae. The record is from RefSeq and is a predicted model, not a curated record.